Non-coding RNA from Pelobates cultripes (western spadefoot toad), 169 nucleotides. Lineage: Eukaryota; Metazoa; Chordata; Amphibia; Anura; Pelobatidae. The record is from the annotation of a GenBank genome assembly.
GCAGACACAUUCCAGCCAAUCAGCAGCAGACCCUCCCUCCCAGACCCUCCCCCAGACCCUCCCACCUCCUGGACAGCAUCCAUUUUGAAGCUGCAUUCUUAGUGAGCUGUCCAGGAGAUGGGAGGGUCUGGGAGGGAGGGUCUGCUGCUGAUUGGCUGGAAUGUGUCUG